RNAcentral lists this ribosomal RNA (1149 nucleotides) under Patescibacteria group bacterium. Its description in RNAcentral is "bacterial SSU rRNA". It matches the Rfam family "Bacterial small subunit ribosomal RNA", at positions 239 to 1412 of the family's 1533-position model. The record is from RNAcentral.
UAUCAGCUAGUUGGCGGUGUAAUAGACCACCAAGGCUAUGACGUCUAGGGGAGGUGAGAGCCUGACCCCCACCGAUGGGACUGAGACACGGCCCAUACACCUACGGGUGGCUGCAGUCGAGAAUCUUCCACAAUGGACGAAAGUCUGAUGGAGCGACGCCGCGUGAAUGAUGAAGCACUUCGGUGCGUAAAGUUCUUUUAUGGAGGAAAAAUUUUAUGAUAUUACUCCAAGAAUAAGGGGUUGCAAAACUCGUGCCAGCAGCAGCGGUAAUACGAGUACCCCAAGCGUUAUCCGGAAUUACUGGGCGUAAAGGGUGCGUAGGAGGCAGUGUUAGUCUUGUUUUAAAGAUCUGGGCUUAACCCAGGGGAUGGACAAGAAACGGCACAGCUUAGAGAGUGUGAGAGGUUUAUGGAACUCAUGGUGUAGGGGUGAAAUCCGUUGAUAUCAUGGGGAACACCAAAGGCGAAGGCAAUAAACUGGCACAUUUCUGACUCUGAAGCACGAAAGCGUGGGGAUCAAAAAGGAUUAGAUACCCUUGUAGUCCACGCCCUAAACGAUGUCAUCUAGCUUAUCGGAGUAUCGACCCUCUGAGAGGCGUAGCAAACGCGUUAAGAUGACCGCCUGGGAAGUACGGCCGCAAGGCUAAAACUCAAAGAAAUAGACGGGGACUUGCACAAGCAGUGGAUCAUGUGGUUUAAUUCGACGCUAAACGAAGAACCUUACCAGGGUUUGAAAUUCAAAUGAAUCUCAGAGGAAACUUUGAGAGUCUCACAAGGACAUUUGGACAGGUGAUGCAUGGCUGUCGUCAGUUCGUGGUUUGAAUUGUUCCCUUCAGUGGGGUAACGAACGCAACCCUCGUUGUCUGUUAUACGUGUCAGGCAAGACUGCCCCUUUUGGGGAGGAAGGAGAGGAUGACGCCAAGUCAGCAUGUCCCUCUGACACCCUGGGCUACACACAUGAUACAAUGGCCGGUACAAAGGGUCGCUAAACCGUAAGGUGGAGCCAACCCCAUCAAAGCCGGUCUCAGUUCGGAUUGAGGUCUGCAACUCGACCUCAUGAAGUUGGAAUUGCUAGUAAUCGCGGGUCAGCUAUACCGCGGUGAAUACGUUCUCAAGUCUUGUACUCACCGCCCGUCAACUCAAGGGAGUU